This 253-nucleotide ribosomal RNA is filed under the name uncultured bacterium. Its description in RNAcentral is "partial 16S ribosomal RNA". It matches the Rfam family "Bacterial small subunit ribosomal RNA", at positions 524 to 776 of the family's 1533-position model. The record is from RNAcentral.
UACGUAGGGGGCAAGCGUUGUCCGGAUUUAUUGGGCGUAAAGAGCGUGUAGGCGGCUAGGUAGGUCCGUUGUGAAAACUCGAGGCUCAACCUCGAGCUGUCGAUGGAAACCAUCUGGCUAGAGUCCGGAAGAGGCGAGUGGAAUUCCUGGUGUAGCGGUGGAAUGCGCAGAUAUCAGGAGGAACACCAAUAGCGAAGGCAGCUCGCUGGGACGGUACUGACGCUGAGGCGCGAAAGCGUGGGGAGCGAACAGG